This 589-nucleotide ribosomal RNA is filed under the name Paenibacillus alvei. Its description in RNAcentral is "bacterial SSU rRNA". It matches the Rfam family "Bacterial small subunit ribosomal RNA", at positions 173 to 747 of the family's 1533-position model. Lineage: Bacteria; Bacillati; Bacillota; Bacilli; Caryophanales; Paenibacillaceae. The record is from RNAcentral.
GCAUUUUCCUCGCAUGAGGGAGAUGAGAAAGGCGGAGCAAUCUGCCACUUAUGGAUGGACCUGCGGCGCAUUAGCUAGUUGGUAAGGUAACGGCUUACCAAGGCGACGAUGCGUAGCCGACCUGAGAGGGUGAUCGGCCACACUGGGACUGAGACACGGCCCAGACUCCUACGGGAGGCAGCAGUAGGGAAUCUUCCGCAAUGGACGAAAGUCUGACGGAGCAACGCCGCGUGAGUGAUGAAGGUUUUCGGAUCGUAAAGCUCUGUUGCCAGGGAAGAACGCCUAGGAGAGUAACUGCUCCUAGGGUGACGGUACCUGAGAAGAAAGCCCCGUGCUAACUUAACGUGCCAGCAGCCGCGGUAAUACGUAGGGGGCGAGCGUUGUCCGGAAUUAUUGGGCGUAAAGCGCGCGCAGGCCGGCAAAUGUAAGUUGGGUGUUUAAACCUAGGGCUUCAACCUUGGGUCGCAUCCAAAACUGCAUAGCUUGAGUACAGAAGAGGAAAGUGGAAUUCCACGUGUAGCGGUGAAAUGCGUAGAGAUGUGGAGGAACACCAGUGGCGAAGGCGACUUUCUGGGCUGUAACUGACGCU